RNAcentral lists this ribosomal RNA (465 nucleotides) under Vreelandella stevensii. Its description in RNAcentral is "partial 16S ribosomal RNA". It matches the Rfam family "Bacterial small subunit ribosomal RNA", at positions 338 to 795 of the family's 1533-position model. Lineage: Bacteria; Pseudomonadati; Pseudomonadota; Gammaproteobacteria; Oceanospirillales; Halomonadaceae. The record is from RNAcentral.
CCUACGGGAGGCAGCAGUGGGGAAUAUUGGACAAUGGGGGGAACCCUGAUCCAGCCAUGCCGCGUGUGUGAAGAAGGCCCUCGGGUUGUAAAGCACUUUCAGUGAGGAAGAACGCCUGGUGGUUAAUACCCAUCAGGAAAGACAUCACUCACAGAAGAAGCACCGGCUAACUCCGUGCCAGCAGCCGCGGUAAUACGGAGGGUGCGAGCGUUAAUCGGAAUUACUGGGCGUAAAGCGCGCGUAGGUGGCUUGAUAAGCCGGUUGUGAAAGCCCCGGGCUCAACCUGGGAACGGCAUCCGGAACUGUCAAGCUAGAGUGCAGGAGAGGAAGGUAGUAUUACCGGUGUAGCGGUGAAAUGCGUAGAGUUCGGGAGGAAUACCCGUGGCGAAGGCGGCCUUCUGGACUGACACUGACACUGAGGUGCGAAAGCGUGGGUAGCAAACCGGAUUAGAUACCCGAGUAGUC